CAUGGGGGCUAUACUGGCGUUGUUCCACCUGUUCCCAUACCGAACACAGAAGUGAAAUACGCCAAGGCCGAUGAUAGUGGUUUUAUACCGCGAAAGUAGGUAGCCCCCGUGA
Molecule: ribosomal RNA, 112 nt
Filed under: bacterium
Lineage: Bacteria
Source: RNAcentral